UGAUAGAGAAGUCUCAGGCGGGAAUUCAGCAGUUUUGGCCAAAAGAGUGAGUCUGCCAGCCGCUGUAAAUAAGCAUGGUGAGAGCAGGGAGAGAGCAGUAGAAGACGGUAGACCAGAGGCUGGUCAACAGCAGGACACCUCCAGUCCCUUCAUCAGCCACAAACUGGGACAGGACACUCUCUGUUACGGACCAGAGUGAAGUUGGUGAAGUUAGUGACUUAACCCCCCAUUCUGCUGAGCCACCAGAGUCACCAAUCAGUGCUGAUCCUGCAGGAUCUGAUGACAUUUCCCAGUCAAGAGCAGGGGGUCCUGUGCAGCCUGUCCUUAAGGUUUUCCCCAAGACACAACAUGGCAACCGCAAGAGGGCAUUCAAUGAAUGAGUCGUGGUACAGAGACUACACAUGGCUGGAGUACUCCAUCAGUAGAGACUCUGUAUUUUGUUAUGCCAGCCGCCAUUUUUCCUUCCAAAUGCCCCGUCCUCUGUAUUCAGAACAGAAACUGGCUUCUCCAACUGGAAGAAAGCUUUGUGUAAAGAAGGUGGAUUUAAAGACCACUCCAAAUGAGUCAUCUUGGGGUGCACUGAGUCCCGACGAGCAAAAGCAUUAGACAUGAAUGAAUUUGUGAGAUGGUUCAGUUCCCGUCAUAAAAAAAUGAAGAAUAAUGCUGUUUUAGAAGAGCAAAAUGUACAGUAGUCACCCACAUGGAACUUUCUGUAUGUUUGUGAGAGAGAGAUAUUUUGAACUGACAGUAUUUGUGAAAAAGUAAAAAGGUUUUAAAAAAUUAAUAAAAUGCUGGAUUUUCUCACAUG
RNAcentral lists this long non-coding RNA (808 nucleotides) under Dicentrarchus labrax (European seabass). RNAcentral's name for it is "lncRNA (ENSDLAG00005027207.1)". Lineage: Eukaryota; Metazoa; Chordata; Actinopteri; Moronidae. The record is from RNAcentral.